Molecule: ribosomal RNA, 119 nt
Organism: Pteropus vampyrus (large flying fox)
Lineage: Eukaryota; Metazoa; Chordata; Mammalia; Chiroptera; Pteropodidae
Source: Ensembl
GUCUAUGGCCAUGAUACACUGAACAAGCCCAAUCCCAUCUGAUCUCAGAAGCUAAGCAGGGUCGGGCCUGGUUAGUACUUAGAUGGGAGACCACCUAGGAAGAGCACGUGCUACAGGCA